Long non-coding RNA from Athalia rosae (coleseed sawfly), 1688 nucleotides. RefSeq lists it as uncharacterized. The record is from RefSeq and is a predicted model, not a curated record. Lineage: Eukaryota; Metazoa; Arthropoda; Insecta; Hymenoptera; Athaliidae. The transcript is spliced from 2 exons.
UUGUAUCAAAGUACGCAUGGUACACCAAACGGGGAGCGAUCUAUACUUCGUCCCUCGAAGUUGUUUCUUAUCUAAUCUCAAUUAUACAUCGGUACCGAGUAGGUGUAUACGUCUACGUAGCGUGUGAGAAGAAAAGCGAAUAAAAUGGGAUAGCUCCGGAUCAACGACUCUACGUUAUGCAUGAACGUAAAAAUUUAAGAGAAAAAAAAAAGAAAAGAAAAUUUACUCCAUCCGAUCGAACGGAGUCGAAUACUCGGGCCCCCGAAGCAGCUCGACGUGAACUUGGCACUUUUUUUUUCUCAGAACGCAGGAUUUCUUUGUAAUAUCUAACAGUGCCAAAGAAGAACAGUGACCGAUGCGGCUGUUCGGGUGGCGUCGAUAAGAGCGUCGUCAGGUGUGCCUCGGAUCAGUAUUGGAGCUAGAUAACGAGUGGCUUGUACCGAUACUCGUUGGUAGCACGUAAUAUUGCAUAAAAGGUAUAGCCGUGGCUUCGGUAUCGCGACAGCAGCAGCAGCAAACGGGGAUUGAAAAGUAAUUUCUUAUCGUAUCAAAGUGGCAAUUUAAUUAAAUUCGAUUGACUGCUCCGCUCGUAAACCUAGUUGAGGAUUUGUUCCUGUUCACGAUGCAGUUGCCGAUUUAUAUCCGAAUAAUCUCGAUGUACCGUGCGCGGGGUGCAGCUGACAAUGAGAGAGAAGGACGGAACGUGGUCAACGCCGUCGAGGGGACCGAAAUGCAGCGAGUCCUACCCCUCGCAGCCAAUGAAAUUCACGAGAUUCGUGCGGGAUGGGCGGAGAGACGAGAUACACCGCACCGAGCUAAUAUUGGAUAUUAGGAAGCCUCCGGAGUAGCGGCAGCACGUUUCCGUCCACCGAUAUACGACGUACACAUCCGAUCGCCUCGAUGAUACUUACAAAUGUUCGUACGAGACUCCGCGCAACGUAUAAGAAAUCGCCGAUCGUCCGAUCAUAUCGGACGAAAAAUCGCCACCCGGAUAGUGCGGUAAUUGGAGGUAACCUGCGCAUCCUGUCCAACAUUAGUCCGUUACACCGAUACCCUAAAAUGUGUGUCCGUUUUACGGCUCGCAGUCGUCACAAUGAUCGGAGAGGAACGGUGGAACGCGGCACGGGCAAAUGCAAUGUGCAAAUAUAUAUACGCGAGUCGCGGCCAUUUAUGUCUACUCGUAAUUCGUGAUUACCGUACAGCGUAUAGGUGAUACGGAAACUACGGCGGUCCAUCUCGCGUGUCGCUCUAAUAAUAUCCGCGUCCGGAGAUCCGCGUAUAUGUAUAUACAGUGGUGUAGUACCUACAAGAAUAUACGCCGAGCGCGGAUAUUCGAGCUAGCGGGGUCGGUUAAUGGGGCUGUUUGAAUAUAUAUGCGAACUGUGGCUACGUUGCACAUAGUUACGUAUUUACGUAUGCGCGCGUUACACCUGCGUAGGUAGAUACGUCUGCGGUCCGCGUCCGCGUCAACGAGUGCCCAUCUCCCGCACUCGCGGAUAACGUGUAUAGGAUACACGUCCCAGGCUCUUCCAAGUCCCAACGUACCUAAAUGGAGUACAGACCGUAUAUCCCACACGUAUCCGGGUCGGAGUUCUUUUAUCCCGAGGGAAAUAUGGAGCGAUAUUGGUAGCAAAGCGUAGUGGCCACGUCCGCGGUGACGCGAUACAUGCACCCGUCUCUGUACCUUC